GCGGACGUGGCGAAAUCGGUAGACGCAAGGCACUUAAAAUGCCUCGCCUUCUGGGCGUGCGGGUUCGAGUCCCGCCGUCCGCA
RNAcentral lists this transfer RNA (83 nucleotides) under Azorhizobium sp. AG788. RNAcentral describes it as "tRNA-Leu". It matches the Rfam family "tRNA". From Rfam's summary of the family: Transfer RNA (tRNA) molecules are approximately 80 nucleotides in length. Their secondary structure includes four short double-helical elements and three loops (D, anti-codon, and T loops). The record is from RNAcentral. Lineage: Bacteria; Pseudomonadati; Pseudomonadota; Alphaproteobacteria; Hyphomicrobiales; Xanthobacteraceae.